AGGAUCAUUCGCAAUGGGCGAAAGCCUGACGAUGCGACGCUGCGAGGAGGAUGAAGGCCUUCGGGUUGUAAACUCCUGUCAUGGGGGAAGAGGCGAGGGGACCCAAUACGUCCCUUAGUUGACUGUACCCCAAGAGGAAUGGGCGGCUAACUCAGUGCCAGCAGCCGCGGUAAUACAGAGGCCCAUAGCGUUGUUCGGAUUUACUGGGCGUAAAGGGCGCGUAGGCGGCAGGGCGUGUCAAGUGUGAAAUCUCCGGGCCCAACCCGGAAAGUGCGCUUGAAACUACCUUGCUCGAGGCCGGGAGAGGGAAUCGGAAUACAGGGUGUAGCGGUGAAAUGCGUUGAUAUCCUGUAGAACACCGGAGGCGAAGGCGGAUUCCUGGAACGGUACUGACGCUGAGGCGCGAAAGUCGGGGGAGCAAACA
Molecule: ribosomal RNA, 424 nt
Filed under: uncultured bacterium
Lineage: Bacteria
Description: bacterial SSU rRNA
Rfam family: Bacterial small subunit ribosomal RNA
Source: RNAcentral